This 365-nucleotide long non-coding RNA is filed under the name Lathyrus oleraceus (garden pea). RNAcentral describes it as "Pisum sativum (pea) long non-coding RNA (PSAT_LNC002248)". The record is from RNAcentral. Lineage: Eukaryota; Viridiplantae; Streptophyta; Magnoliopsida; Fabales; Fabaceae.
CUGGCUCGGCAUGACUAUUGUAGUGUAAAACUUGUGCAAAAAGAUAUGUUUGGGGUAUUCAUCUGUAGAAAAAAAAAUUGUUGAAAAAGGGCAAGUGCAAGGAAAAGAAAGACGAGAAAAAUAAAAACUGUGUAGAAACAUCCGCUUCUACCGAAAAAAAAAGAGAAAAAGAAAUGAAAAAAAAGGUACCUAUAUAGAGAAAUGAAGAAUAAGCACUUGCCUUAGAAAUAGACUCAUGCAUUUAUAUGAAUUUGAGUGAAAAAGAGUCAAGAUUGGACGACACCCCAAAUAAAUUUCCUGCAUAAAGAAAAACAACAACAUGAAUGGCGAGUUGUAAAACCUUUUGUAAUCCAUUAUGUUGUCUA